AGCUUUUUGAAUCCGUGUUGACAUUUCGUCAGACACCAACUCAUUAGGGCUGAUCAAACGUCCAAGAUAAGUGAGUUU
Molecule: non-coding RNA, 78 nt
Organism: Schistosoma mansoni
Lineage: Eukaryota; Metazoa; Platyhelminthes; Trematoda; Strigeidida; Schistosomatidae
Source: Rfam